RNAcentral lists this ribosomal RNA (472 nucleotides) under uncultured bacterium. RNAcentral describes it as "bacterial SSU rRNA". It matches the Rfam family "Bacterial small subunit ribosomal RNA", at positions 355 to 825 of the family's 1533-position model. The record is from RNAcentral.
UGGGGAAUAUUGGACAAUGGGCGAAAGCCUGAUCCAGCCAUGCCGCGUGUGUGAAGAAGGUCUUCGGAUUGUAAAGCACUUUAAGUUGGGAGGAAGGGCAGUAACCUAAUACGUUGCUGUCUUGACGUUACCGACAGAAUAAGCACCGGCUAACUCUGUGCCAGCAGCCGCGGUAAUACAGAGGGUGCAAGCGUUAAUCGGAAUUACUGGGCGUAAAGCGCGCGUAGGUGGUUUGUUAAGUUGGAUGUGAAAUCCCCGGGCUCAACCUGGGAACUGCAUUCAAAACUGACUGACUAGAGUAUGGUAGAGGGUGGUGGAAUUUCCUGUGUAGCGGUGAAAUGCGUAGAUAUAGGAAGGAACACCAGUGGCGAAGGCGACCACCUGGACUGAUACUGACACUGAGGUGCGAAAGCGUGGGGAGCAAACAGGAUUAGAUACCCAUGUAGUCCCUGAGCGGGCUGGCAAGGCGCAU